Long non-coding RNA from Arvicola amphibius (Eurasian water vole), 276 nucleotides. RefSeq lists it as uncharacterized. The record is from RefSeq and is a predicted model, not a curated record. NCBI's taxonomy places the organism in Eukaryota, Metazoa, Chordata, Mammalia, Rodentia, Cricetidae. The transcript has 2 exons.
CAGCUCUGAACUGUCCUCGGGCUCCUUUGCUCCUCACAGUGCCCUAAAACAACUGUCUCUCAACAAAAAUUUUUCAACGUUUUCUCACUGCUGCAGCUGGCCUGGAAUAUCCUGCUACCUAGAGAUGAAUACGGCUGGCUUCUGUGCAGAAAUUAACCUCUGGAUCGUCUGGAAAGCAACUGUCAUACCUUUAAUACCAUUAAGCUUAUUUUGAAAAUAAUGUUAUUAAGUUAAGAAAAGAAUUAGAAUUAAACUUCUCUGUUGAAAAUACACAAA